ACUAGGGGGCGCAUUGGAAGAUGGCUGACAAUAACAUCUCUCCGACCCACACAAGGUAAUUUGGAGGCUAUGAUGGGGGUAAUUAGCCUCCUUAACCCCCCCCCAGGAUUGUGGGGGGGAUGGCCCUUGGCUGCUGUGCCCUAUACCACCCCCGAAUUUGUGGGGGUGGGGGCACUAGGCACAAAGCCCUCCUGUGGGACUUUGGCACUCCUGAACGCCGUCCCUGAUUCGCGCCACUAGAUGCAGAACUUCAAAGGAAACAAUUUGGAUGAAAGGAAUGCACAUAUUUCAAGAAAGAAGGGGGAGUAAAGACUGCUAACAGAAGAGAUCUCUGACAAAACAAGAUAAGAAUAAAACAUGAGAAGAUACGCCAAGACAAGGUAUGGCAAAUGACUGAUGGGGGAGGGGG
Molecule: non-coding RNA, 409 nt
Organism: Podarcis lilfordi (Lilford's wall lizard)
Lineage: Eukaryota; Metazoa; Chordata; Lepidosauria; Squamata; Lacertidae
Source: the annotation of a GenBank genome assembly